RNAcentral lists this long non-coding RNA (274 nucleotides) under Physcomitrium patens. RNAcentral's name for it is "long non-coding RNA (PPAT_LNC005235)". The record is from RNAcentral. Lineage: Eukaryota; Viridiplantae; Streptophyta; Bryopsida; Funariales; Funariaceae.
UAAAAACCUAAAUACUCUUUUUGUGAAUAAUCAAGUGAUUUUAUUCUUUAAUUACUCUCAACUUCACUUUAAAGACUUUUUAUAAGUCUUAUACUCUAUCUUAACUUCUUGUAUAAACAUUGCCACACUACAAUCACCCUUCUUCUCUCAUAAAAUACUUCUUACCUCACAAAACACUUUUUAUCUUUAUAUGACGAUUUCAAGAGAAGUUUAUCACAUAAAACCACAAUGUUAGAUUAUAAAUGAUGUAAAUUAGCAAAAAAACAUAAUACUA